RNAcentral lists this ribosomal RNA (289 nucleotides) under uncultured bacterium. Its description in RNAcentral is "partial 16S ribosomal RNA". It matches the Rfam family "Bacterial small subunit ribosomal RNA", at positions 773 to 1060 of the family's 1533-position model. The record is from RNAcentral.
GUGGAUUAGGUACCCGGGUAGUCCACGCCCUAAACGAUGUCAACUAGUUGUCGGGUCUUAAUUGACUUGGUAACGCAGCUAACGCGUGAAGUUGACCGCCUGGGGAGUACGGCCGCAAGGUUAAAACUCAAAGGAAUUGACGGGGACCCGCACAAGCGGUGGAUGAUGUGGAUUAAUUCGAUGCAACGCGAAAAACCUUACCUACGCUUGACAUGCUAGGAACCUCGCAGAGAUGUGAGGGUGCUCGAAAGAGAGCCUAGACACAGGUGCUGCACGGUCGUCGACAGCU